GACCUGGUACGGUGGUCCGCCUUCACGGUGUGUACUGCUGGACCGGGUUCUACCUCUUGGUGAGCCGGCAUGCCCUUCACUGGGUGUGUCGGGGAACCAGGACUUUUACCUUGAGAAAAUUAGAGUGUUUAAAGCAAGUGAAUAACAGCCUGAAUACAUUAGCAUGGAAUAAUAGAAUAG
This 180-nucleotide ribosomal RNA is filed under the name uncultured Glomeromycotina. Its description in RNAcentral is "partial small subunit ribosomal RNA". The record is from RNAcentral. Lineage: Eukaryota; Fungi; Glomeromycota.